RNAcentral lists this transfer RNA (72 nucleotides) under Archaeoglobus fulgidus. RNAcentral describes it as "tRNA-Ala". It matches the Rfam family "tRNA". Rfam says of the family: Transfer RNA (tRNA) molecules are approximately 80 nucleotides in length. Their secondary structure includes four short double-helical elements and three loops (D, anti-codon, and T loops). Lineage: Archaea; Methanobacteriati; Methanobacteriota; Archaeoglobi; Archaeoglobales; Archaeoglobaceae. The record is from RNAcentral. RNAcentral also lists the same sequence under 1 other name.
GGGCUCGUAGCUCAGCGGUAGAGCGCCGCCUUCGCGAGGCGGAGGCCCCGGGUUCGAAUCCCGGCGAGUCCA